This 741-nucleotide long non-coding RNA is filed under the name Nicotiana benthamiana. Its description in RNAcentral is "long non-coding RNA (NBEN_LNC004468)". Lineage: Eukaryota; Viridiplantae; Streptophyta; Magnoliopsida; Solanales; Solanaceae. The record is from RNAcentral.
UGGCCAUUGAUUUAAUUUAACCCAACGGUUCAGAUAUUUUUCCCUACACCAAAUAUACACUCAAAAAAACCCUAAUCCUAAACAGACCAUCGCACCUCACUCCCAUCUCUCCCACCUCCUUUACCCCAAACUCGACUGAACUCGCCAGAAAUGGCGAGUUAACUCAUGGCCCCCUUUCCCCUUUUAUCUUUCUUCCACGUGGCCUGACAAAUAACCGAUUUUGGUUCGAAUAUUCUCUUACCCUUUAUUAUCCGCAUUUUUAUUUGCUUUCACACGUGAAUCUCUUUUAGUGGUAGAUGAUGGACGAAGAGUAGGAUAUGAUUAAUAAAAAUUAAUCAUACCCCUCUAUUUGCACAGACUUUUACCAAAAAUGAGGAGAUUUUCAGAAUUUUAGAGUUCUUUCUCGGAUUUGGAGAUAAAAAUCGAUUCCUUGCUCCGUGACUUCCGGUGCAUGCUGCUCCGGGGAAAGAAGUUGAAUUUGCUAAAGAAGAAGAUUCCCGGCUCUCGGCUCUCUCUUUCCGAAUAUAUGAAUGUUUUUUACUACGAUUUCCGGGUGGGAAGAAAGUGAUUGCCAGCUCUUUGAACGAAAUAAGUUGUUCAAGCAUAUCCUUCUCUCUAAGAAGAGAAAUUAGUUCACUACCUGUCCUCCAGAUAUAGAAGGUUCGAGAGCCCCUAUAUAUAUUGGGGUGUUUUCUCAAAUAUUGGGUUUUGAGAGAAUUUUCAGGUUUUUUUUUUUUGNNN